UGGGGAAUUUUGGACAAUGGGCGAAAGCCUGAUCCAGCAAUGCCGCGUGUGUGAAGAAGGCCUUCGGGUUGUAAAGCACUUUUGUCCGGAAAGAAAUCCUUGGCUCUAAUACAGUCGGGGGAUGACGGUACCGGAAGAAUAAGCACCGGCUAACUACGUGCCAGCAGCCGCGGUAAUACGUAGGGUGCAAGCGUUAAUCGGAAUUACUGGGCGUAAAGCGUGCGCAGGCGGUUUGCUAAGACCGAUGUGAAAUCCCCGGGCUCAACCUGGGAACUGCAUUGGUGACUGGCAGGCUAGAGUAUGGCAGAGGGGGGUAGAAUUCCACGUGUAGCAGUGAAAUGCGUAGAGAUGUGGAGGAAUACCGAUGGCGAAGGCAGCCCCCCUGGGCCAAAUACUGACGCUCAUGCACGAAAGGCGUGGGGGAGCAAACAGGAUUAGAUACCCCUGGUAGUCCACGCCCUAAACGAUGUCAACUAGUUGUUGGGGGAUUCAUUUCCUUAGUAACGUAGCUAACGCGUGAAGUUGACCGCCU
This 532-nucleotide ribosomal RNA is filed under the name uncultured bacterium. Its description in RNAcentral is "partial 16S ribosomal RNA". It matches the Rfam family "Bacterial small subunit ribosomal RNA", at positions 355 to 874 of the family's 1533-position model. The record is from RNAcentral.